UCGAAGAAUAUCUAAUGAUAUGAAAAAUGUCCGUACUAUAUCACAUAAAAACCAGUUUCAAAAUGUUAUUAUGCACAGUACGAUCGUAUCUGGAUCGGUGAAUAUGAAUGCAAGUACAACAGAGACUGAAAGAAAGUACGUCAAAUGUUAAUGGGAAUUAUCUCCGGCCCACAGAUGCCUUAAAGACUGUACAAAUUUCCACAUUUUAUGCCAAGAUGCCGGUUAAUUGUACAGACGAGACAACUACAGCAGAGCGCGAGGAAACGCUUCCCAGCGCGGAAAAGUGAAGAUGCUGACCCAAGACUUACUCCGUGUAAAGUUUGCGUAUCCAAAACCUGAAAGCAGCUCACCUACUUUUUUGAUGUCCAUUUAGCCCUGUUCCUUUUCGGGAAAGAGGCCACCUCGGGCUGUGCGUUCUCCGGGGGUCUCUCUUGCCUUUUACGUACGACCUUCUCCUGAACCCUGUAUGGCCCUUACUGUGUACAAGGGAAAACAAGGCAGUUUGCAGAGCUCCGGAAACCACGAGAGGCAAGUGUGGUAGCUGGGCCUGGCUUCGCCCUCUCCGGCAAGGCUACAGAUGCCUCCAGAUUCCAGCGGGCCACGUCAAGGGAAUCAUCUGGAGUAUUCGAAAUUGAUUUGAAUAUUCAAUACAGAUCACCGCAGCAGAACUCAUGGAUGAGAAAUAAUGUGAAUCCAUUGCCAUUGAUUAGCUAAUUUAUGUUCUACAACUAAUCGAAGCACAAAUCUCAUUAGCCACAGGUCAGUAAGGCUUGGAGAGAAAAAGACAAUCAUUUUGGUAGCCUAGUUGGCUGUAAAGACACAAUUAGAAGCCCACCGGCUUUCCAGGCUUUCCUGCCCCUCCUCCCAGAUCUCAAGCCGAUCGUGAAGGGAAAGAAAGGUAGGGCUUCCCCGUGGUUUGGCCAGUCACUGCAAAAGAGAUCUCCAUAUGCCAC
This is a long non-coding RNA of Neofelis nebulosa (Clouded leopard), 953 nucleotides long. RefSeq lists it as uncharacterized. The record is from RefSeq and is a predicted model, not a curated record. NCBI's taxonomy places the organism in Eukaryota, Metazoa, Chordata, Mammalia, Carnivora, Felidae. The transcript has 2 exons.